CCUACGGGAGGCUGCAGUGAGGAAUAUUGGUCAAUGGCCGCAGGGCUGAACCAGCCAAGUCGCGUGAGGGAUGACGGUCCUAUGGAUUGUAAACCUCUUUUGUCAGGGAGCAAAGGGCGCCACGUGUGGCGCUUUGCGAGUACCUGAAGAAAAAGCAUCGGCUAACUCCGUGCCAGCAGCCGCGGUAAUACGGAGGAUGCGAGCGUUAUCCGGAUUUAUUGGGUUUAAAGGGUGCGCAGGCGGAAUGUCAAGUCAGUGGUAAAAUUUCGGGGCUCAACCCCGUCGUGCCGUUGAAACUGGCGUUCUUGAGGGAGCGAGAAGUAUGCGGAAUGCGGGGUGUAGCGGUGAAAUGCAUAGAUAUCACGCAGAACUCCGAUUGCGAAGGCAGCAUACCGGCGCUCAACUGACGCUCAUGCACGAAAGCGUGGGUAUCGAACAGGAUUAGAUACCCUGGUAGUC
Molecule: ribosomal RNA, 459 nt
Filed under: uncultured bacterium
Lineage: Bacteria
Description: partial 16S ribosomal RNA
Rfam family: Bacterial small subunit ribosomal RNA
Source: RNAcentral